Molecule: ribosomal RNA, 403 nt
Filed under: uncultured bacterium
Lineage: Bacteria
Description: partial 16S ribosomal RNA
Rfam family: Bacterial small subunit ribosomal RNA
Source: RNAcentral
GACGAACGCUGGCGGCGUGCCUAAUACAUGCAAGUCGAACGCAGUGGGGACGGGUGAGUAACACGUGGGUAACCUCCCAUCAGAGGGGAUAACACUUGGAAACAUGUUCUAAACCGAUACUGAUGGAUGGACCCGCGGUGCAUUAGCUAGUUGGUGGGGUACCGGCUCACCAAGGCCACGAUGCAUAGCCUACCUGAGAGGGUGAGCGGCCACACUGGGACGUAGACACGGCCCAGACUCCUACGGGAGGAAGAAGUAGGGAAGCUUCGGCAAGGGACGAAAGUCUGACCGAGCAACGCCGCGUGAGUGAAGAAGGUGUUCGGAUCGUAAAACGCUGUUGUUAGAGAAGCGGUAUCUAACCAGAAAGCAACGGCUAACUACGUGCCAGCAGCCGCGGUAAUAC